AUUGAACGCUGGCGGCAUGCCUUACACAUGCAAGUCGAACGGCAGCGCGGGAGCAAUCCUGGCGGCGAGUGGCGAACGGGUGAGUAAUAUAUCGGAACGUGCCCAGUAGUGGGGGAUAGCCCGGCGAAAGCCGGAUUAAUACCGCAUGAGACCUGAGGGUGAAAGCGGGGGAUCGCAAGACCUCGCGCUAUUGGAGCGGCCGAUAUCAGAUUAGCUAGUUGGUGGGUAAAGGCCUACCAAGGCAACGAUCUGUAGUUGGUCUGAGAGGACGACCAGCCACACUGGGACUGAGACACGGCCCAGACUCCUACGGGAGGCAGCAGUGGGGAAUUUUGGACAAUGGGCGCAAGCCUGAUCCAGCAAUGCCGCGUGCAGGAAGAAGG
This 383-nucleotide ribosomal RNA is filed under the name uncultured bacterium. Its description in RNAcentral is "bacterial SSU rRNA". It matches the Rfam family "Bacterial small subunit ribosomal RNA", at positions 29 to 414 of the family's 1533-position model. The record is from RNAcentral.